UACACGAGCGGCGAACGGGUGAGUAACACGUGAGCAACCUGCCCCCGACUCCGGGAUAAGCGGUGGAAACGCCGUCUAAUACCGGAUACGACACACCGCCUCAUGGCGGUGUGUGGAAAGUUUUUCGGUCGGGGAUGGGCUCGCGGCCUAUCAGCUUGUUGGUGGGGUAACGGCCUACCAAGGCGAUUACGGGUAGCCGGCCUGAGAGGGCGACCGGCCACACUGGGACUGAGACACGGCCCAGACUCCUGCGGGAGGCAGCAGUGGGGAAUAUUGCGCAAUGGGCGAAAGCCUGACGCAGCGACGCCGCGUGGGGGAUGACGGCCUUCGGGUUGUAAACCUCUUUUACCACCAACGCAGGCUCCCAGUUCUCUGGGGGUUGACGGUAGGUGGGGAAUAAGGACCGGCUAACUACGUGCCAGCAGCCGCGGUAAUACGUAGGGUCCGAGCGUUGUCCGGAAUUAUUGGGCGUAAAGAGCUCGUAGGCGGCGUGUCGCGUCUGCUGUGAAAGACCGGGGCUUAACUCCGGUUCUGCAGUGGAUACGGGCAUGCUAGAGGUAGGUAGGGGAGACUGGAAUUCCUGGUGUAGCGGUGAAAUGCGCAGAUAUCAGGAGGAACACCGGUGGCGAAGGCGGGUCUCUGGGCCUUACCUGACGCUGAGGAGCGAAAGCAUGGGGAGCGAACAGGAUUAGAUACCCUGGUAGUCCAUGCCGUAAACGUUGGGCGCUAGGUGUGGGGACUUUCCACGGUUUCCGCGCCGCAGCUAACGCAUUAAGCGCCCCGCCUGGGGAGUACGGCCGCAAGGCUAAAACUCAAAGGAAUUGACGGGGGCCCGCACAAGCGGCGGAGCAUGUUGCUUAAUUCGACGC
RNAcentral lists this ribosomal RNA (869 nucleotides) under Nocardiopsis sp. RNAcentral's name for it is "bacterial SSU rRNA". It matches the Rfam family "Bacterial small subunit ribosomal RNA", at positions 88 to 957 of the family's 1533-position model. The record is from RNAcentral. Lineage: Bacteria; Bacillati; Actinomycetota; Actinomycetes; Streptosporangiales; Nocardiopsidaceae.